GGGGGGGGGAGAUCCAAAGAAAGGCAAGAAGGAAGGAAGCAAAGGAGGCAGGGAAGACAGAGAGAAAAGGGGUAGGGGAAGGAGGUGGAAGAAGGAGAUAAAGAACAAGGGAGCGAAAGAGACAUCGCGUCUGCGAAUCCCCGGGAGCUGAAUUACAGCGCAUCUCUUGUUCACAUCUCUAACUCAAAAGCAUCCCGUUCUCCCCGGAAACCACUCUUCUUUUCUCCAAGCUCGCAGUUUGUGGAAUGUAAAGCGAGUACUGCAAUGCAGCUCAGUGUCUUCUCCCAGAAUGGAGCAGAGAGUUAAGCGACGGGAUGGGGGAGAUAUUUUACCUUCCAUUGCUGCAACUGCAGAUGCCAAGAGGAAAAGCAUUAAAGAAUCCAGUGCCAUCGUCUUUCUUUACUUUAAAUAUUCCCUGGAUCCCCUGCCGAGGAGUUGAUGGAGCUGUGAAACAGGAGCUACAUUUGGAGUCAGAAAACCUACAUUCAAAUACAGCUUUGACACCUACCACCUUGGGCAAGUCGCUUACUAUCUCUAGGCCUCAGUUUCCUCAUCUGUAAAAUGAGGGAGUUGGACAAGAAGAUGUUUAAGGUCAGUUCUAGCUCAGAGUCUAUGAAUUUCCAUUGUAGACUUCAUCUUUCUGGAUGACACAUCCCCUUGCAGUGUCAACCCUAUCAUUUUUUCCUAAUUUUACA
Molecule: long non-coding RNA, 695 nt
Filed under: Phascolarctos cinereus (koala)
Lineage: Eukaryota; Metazoa; Chordata; Mammalia; Diprotodontia; Phascolarctidae
Description: lncRNA (ENSPCIG00000022087.2)
Source: RNAcentral